RNA transcript from Orcinus orca (killer whale), 4406 nucleotides. It is a transcript of the gene named major facilitator superfamily domain containing 9, with no coding region annotated. The record is from RefSeq and is a predicted model, not a curated record. The transcript is spliced from 5 exons. Lineage: Eukaryota; Metazoa; Chordata; Mammalia; Artiodactyla; Delphinidae.
AGCGCCGCGGGCCUGUCAGGUGAGCUCAGCCCCCAGCGCGUGUGAGCCUACGGAACGCUGGGGCUGAGGCGGCAUGGCUCCGGACCGGGGCCUGGCCUCGGCGACACCGUGGCCGCGGGAGAAGCCCAGGACAGGGACCCAGGCGGGGGCUCCCGGCCCCGGUACCGUCGGAGCCCGCCGCUUCCUGCUUUGUCUCUACCUGGUGGGAUUCCUGGAGUUGUUUGGUGUGAGCACGGUCGUCCCUUUACUGAGCCUUCGUGUCAAGUCUUUUGGAGCGAGUCCAACAGUUGCUGGAAUAGUAGGCUCCUCCUGCGGCGUUUUGCAGUUCUUUUCCAGCACAUUGGUGGAGGAUGCUGCGUUAAGAGGGGCUUGAGGAAAAGAAUGGAGCAGCCGUAAUGUCGGAUGGAACGGGCUGGUCUGUGGGGAGGCCAGCUAAGGAGCCACGGAAAUGACCCUGAUAGACAUAAUAUCAUCAUUUAAGAAGAAGAAUCUUGGGACUUCCCUGGUGGCACAGUGGUUAAGAAUCUGCCUGCCAAUGCAGGGGACACAGGUUCGAGCCCUGGUCCAGGAAGAUCCCACGUGCCGCAGAGAAACUAAGCCCAUUGGCCACAACUACUGAGCCUGAGUUCUAGAGCUCACAAGCCAUAACUACUGAGCCCAUGCACCUAGAGCCCGUGCUGUGCAACAAAAGAAGCCACCGCAAUGAGAAGCCUGUACACCACAACGAAGAGUAGCCCCUGCUCGCUGCAACUAGAGAAAGCCCACGCGCAGCAACGAAGACCCAACGCAGCCAAAAAUAAAAUAUUAAUUAAUUAAUUUUUUAAAAAAAGAAGAAGAAUCUUAAAGAAUAACACUUAGGAAUUAUUCAAUAUUUUUUAAUAAUUCAAAAAUCUAAAACAUUGAUUUCAGUGUCAAAAUCAUUCAUACAAGUUUAAUCAUGCACAAGUUUUUUCAGGGUCUAUUCAUGCAAUUAUUUAAGGAGGAAAGACCAGAGUAGCUUGCAAUGCUAUCACUUUAUUAUUUCUAAUACUCCAUAAAUUAAUAUAGGAUUUUUUUUCCAACAAAAACUUUAGCUGCAUUUUGCUAUUAUGGUCUAUUCUUUUAAAUACCUCCUUAGAAACAUUUACAAAGACACCAUUUAUAAUAUGUAUGUACAUACAAUUGAUCCUCAUUAUUCAGGGCUUCCAUAUUUGCAAGCUCAACUACUUGCUAAAAUUUAUAAACACAUUAUCAGUACUCAUCGCACUGUCCUAGUCAUUCACAGACAUGUGCAAAGUGGAGAAAAACUUGAGUCGCUGGGCAUGCACAUUCCCAAAUGAGGUCAAACUCAUCUGCCCCCUUGUCUCAGCUCUCAUGCUGUAAAAAAAAAUGUCCUUUUCACAGCCUAUUUAGUGCCAUGUUUUUCACAUUUUUGUGCUUUUUAUGGGUGAUCUUGCUGUUCUAAAUGGUCCCCAAGCAUAGCUCUGAAGUGCUGUCUAGUGUUCCUAAGCGCAGGAAGUUCCCAAGUUUUAACUCUACUUUUUCUGAAGGAUAUUUUAGCAGGAUAUGGAGCUCUAAGUUCAGUUACAUUUUUUCAGAAUUUUUGAAGCUACCAAUGGUGUCCACUGGUUUUGCUGAAAAAUCGGUUGCCAGGUUUUUUUUCUCUUUUGAAGAAAAUAAGUCUCUUUUUCCCUCUGAGUAUGUUUAAGAGGUUCUCUUUGUGUUUUUUUACUUUUAGUGGUUUUACUAGCAGGUAUCUCAUUUGGUUCUCUCCCUAUCUAAUCUGCUUGGGGUUGUCACAGUUCAUAUCCUUUAUCUAUUUGGGGAAGUUCUCAGUCAUUAUCUCUUAAAAUAUUGCUUCUACCAAUUUCUCUCUCAUCUCCUUCUGGAACUUUUCACUAUAUAUAUAUGAAAUUAUCCCAUAUAUUUCUUUUUCAUCUUUUCUUCAUGCUGGUUAUUUCCUUCUGUCCUAUCUUCCAAUUAAUCACUUCUCUCUUCAGCUGUGUCUAAUCUGUUUUUCUACCUACCAAAUGAGAUCCUAAAUUUAGUUACUUUAUUUUUAGCUCAAAUAUUCCACUUAGAUAUUUUUUGUUUAUAUAGUCUCCAUGAGGAUGCCAAAAGUGUCAAUGCCAUUUUCUUUCCUUAAACAUGUUAUUGUUUCUAUUUUAAAGUCACUAUCUGAUAAAUCAAUUAUCUGAAUCCCCUUUGUGCCUAUUAUUACUCUAUGUUUUGUUGAUCUUUUCCUCAAUAUUUUCAGUCACAUUUCCUUGUCUACUCAUAUGCUUGGUUAUUUUGGAUUGAGUGCUAGACAUUAUAUAUAAAAAAAAUCAUGAAGAUAGUUUAACACUCUUUACAAUAUUAUUUCCUCCAGAGAAGAUUUAAAUGUACUUCCCUUGAGCAGCUGAGAUAGAGGCAAUCUCAGUCUCUGAUGAUUUAAACAAUCAUGAAUUGAGAUAAUUCUAGGCUGGACUUCUUUCCUUUGAGGGUUAAGGUGUAGGAUUUUGAAGGAAAACCUAGAGCUGAGUACAUACAAAUGCUCCUCCUUCUUCGUAGGUUCUGAAUUCCCAUUUUAUUCUCUAAGACCAAUUAGUCUGUCAAAACCUCUGUUUUAGCUUUUUAGAGUCUCAGAUACAUUCUCUGUAUCCCAGAGAGAAAAUGGCAACAAAUACCAGUUCUAUCCUCUUGAACUUCCCGCUUUUUUGACUCUUGGCCAAGAAAUUCCUCACUGUAAGGGUACUCUCCAGCUUUCAAGCAGAUAUUUAAAAUAUACUUUGGACGAAACAUACUUUGUCCUUUUACCUCUAGUUUUCUCAGAAGGUAGUUGGUCUGGCCCUCGGUUCAUUAUUGCCAGAAAUAUGACUCCCUAUUGCCUUCCUUUUUUGCUUCUAUCUUCCUCUAAAGAAAACAUUUCAGGAGAGGUGGAAUGGUCAAUAUGGCAAUCAUUUACCCAGCUAUGUAGCUAUCCAUUAAUUUUGUUACCUACUUUCCCUAACCCUAAACGUUUGCCUUUACUGGCUUCUACCACUGGCUUCAAAAUGAACUGUGAACAGAGGUAAAAGUGAGAUUUCCUUCUUCUAUGACCACAAAGGCAAUGGCUCCCUUUUGAGAAGCUGGAUAGUUGAAUUAUUGCUUGCUGCAAGCACAAAAGGAACAGUGCAUAAGAAAGAUCGUAAAUUGUAAAGCUAGAGUAAACUGUAGGAUCAAGUCUAGCCCCAUUUUCUACUUGAAGAAACUCAGCAUCAGGGAAACAGAUGGACCAGCUUAAGGUCACACAGUGAGUAACUUGCAGAGCUGGGACUAUAAAGCAGUCAUUCUGCUCAAGCACCACCAUUUCCAAUUCAGAAUAACGCCUUUAUGUCUGAGCCAUCCUGACCACUACCUUCUUUUUAUUCUGGGUUGUGUAAACUACCACAGUUUUUAUAGGGGACUAUAGUCCUAGUAAAAAUCACAGUUUAUAAGGUCGGGUGUGAUUUGGAGCUUCCUCUCUCAUUUCAACCGUCCCAUAGAUAGCAUUUUGAUUUAGGUGACAUUUAGCUUAAAGGAGCUUCAUUCAGGCUCAUCGGUGAAAGAAGAAAUCAGUGGAACCCGUAAUCUGUCAUUUUUGUGUAGUGGAGGAAUGAUGCUUACAUGAUAAACUCGUUUGCUAAUCUGCUAACAGUAUUUACUGUCCUGCUGUGGAUUUGCUGUAAGAGUCUGCUGUAAGACGUUUAAGUCUCUACAUUCUGGGUCUUCAUUUCCUCAUUUUUAAAAUUAGGGAGACAGACUAGGUCAAUGCAUCUCAAUCCUGGAUGCAUACUAGAAACUUCCAUACGCUUAUUAUAUACUUAUAAAUAAACCUAUACCUGGGCCUCAACCCCAGAGAUCCUGAUUGUAUCGGUCUGGGCGGGGGUGGGGGCAGGCAUACGUAUUGUUUAAAUGCUCCUACAGUUUUUCUAAUGUACAGCGUGGGUUGAGGACCACUGCACGAGAUGAUCACUGAUGAUCUUUCCAAGACUUAAACUAUGACUCUGCAAAUAAUCCAUGAGGAAAUAGCUUUGUAAUUACAUGCAUAUUUAUAAUUGCAAAUUAUAACACACCUUAAAAUAUUCCAUUUCAAAAUGCUUGCUAAAGAGGCUUUACUUUCAGAACACACUGAAUUGCCCAAAGCAAAUAUCAUAAAGGCAUAAUCAUCCUAAACAUGACAAAGUACUUUCUGACUGGUCCACUCUGCAAUAACACAACAUGGGGUGAUGUGACAUGACAGAACAUAACAUAAUGGACACACUUCCAGGCUUUCACAUUUUAACCAGGAUCUUGUGCUGCUGUGAGGUCUUAAGGAAUCAUGUUAGGAAAUAAGUCAAAUUUGCUGUUAUUACUGGUUUCACAAAACUAUAAAGACAUACUUAGUAAUACUAACUUUCAUUUGCAAAACAGGACUUACUUCAGAG